This 448-nucleotide ribosomal RNA is filed under the name uncultured bacterium. Its description in RNAcentral is "partial 16S ribosomal RNA". It matches the Rfam family "Bacterial small subunit ribosomal RNA", at positions 338 to 795 of the family's 1533-position model. The record is from RNAcentral.
CCUACGGGGGGCAGCAGUGGGGAAUUUUGGACAAUGGGGGCAACCCUGAUCCAGCCAUGCCGCGUGAGUGAAGAAGGCCUUCGGGUUGUAAAGCUCUUUCGGCCGGGAAGAAAUCGCUCAAGCUAAUACCUUGGGUGGAUGACGGUACCGGAAGAAGAAGCACCGGCUAACUACGUGCCAGCAGCCGCGGUAAUACGUCGGGUGCGAGCGUUAAUCGGAAUUACCAGGCGGAAAGAUUGCGCAGGCGGCGAAUCACCGGGCUUAACCUGGGAACUGCGGUUGUGACUGUGGUGCUCGAGUGCGGCAGAGGGGGGUGGAAUUCCACGUGUAGCAGUGAAAUGCGUAGAGAUGUGGAGGAACACCGAUGGCGAAGGCAGCCCCCUGGGUCGACACUGACGCUCAUGCACGAAAGCGUGGGGAGCAAACAGGAUUAGAUACCCUAGUAGUC